This 496-nucleotide ribosomal RNA is filed under the name uncultured bacterium. RNAcentral describes it as "partial 16S ribosomal RNA". It matches the Rfam family "Bacterial small subunit ribosomal RNA", at positions 29 to 507 of the family's 1533-position model. The record is from RNAcentral.
AUGAACGCUGGCGGCGUGCCUAAUACAUGCAAGUCGAGCGAACGGACGAGAAGCUUGCUUCUCUGAUGUUAUCGGCGGACGGGUGAGUAACACGUGGAUAACCUACCUAUAAGACUGGGAUAACUUCGGGAAACCGGAGCUAAUACCGGAUAAUAUUUUGAACCGCAUGGUUCCAAAGUGAAAGACGGUCUUGCUUUCACUUAUAGAUGGAUCCGCGCUGCAUUAGCUAGUUGGUAAGGUAACGGCUUACCAAGGCAACGAUGCAUAGCCGACCUGAGAGGGUGAUCGGCCACACUGGAACUGAGACACGGUCCAGACUCCUACGGGAGGCAGCAGUAGGGAAUCUUCCGCAAUGGGCGAAAGCCUGACGGAGCAACGCCGCGUGAGUGAUGAAGGUCUUCGGAUCGUAAAACUCUGUUAUUAGGGAAGAACAUAUGUGUAAGUAACUGUGCACAUCUUGACGGUACCUAAUCAGAAAGCCACGGCUAACUACGUG